AACAUCGCGCACCUGCGGGAACCUGCGGAAGGAUCAUUACCGAGUUAUACAACUCAUCAACCCCUGUGAACUUACCUACAACGUUGCUUCGGCGGGAACAGACGGCCCCGUAAAACGGGCCGCCCCCGCCAGAGGACCCCUAACUCUGUUUUUAUAAUGUUUUUCUGAGUAAACAAGCAAAUAAAUUAAAACUUUCAACAACGGAUCU
This 208-nucleotide unclassified non-coding RNA is filed under the name soil metagenome. RNAcentral describes it as "partial contains 5.8S ribosomal RNA, internal transcribed spacer 2, and large subunit ribosomal RNA". The record is from RNAcentral.